RNAcentral lists this ribosomal RNA (327 nucleotides) under uncultured eukaryote. RNAcentral's name for it is "partial 18S ribosomal RNA". It matches the Rfam family "Eukaryotic small subunit ribosomal RNA", at positions 1470 to 1796 of the family's 1831-position model. The record is from RNAcentral.
CCCUUAGAUGUUCUGGGCCGCACACGCGCUACACUGAAGGAGGCAGCGUGUACUCCUGGAUCGAAAGAUUUGGGUAACCCGCGAAUCUCCUUCGUGCUAGGGAUUGAGGUUUGCAAUUAUCCUUCAUGAACGAGGAAUUCCCAGUAAGUGCAAGUCAUAAGCUUGCGCUGACUACGUCCCUGCCCUUUGUACACACCGCCCGUCGCUACUACCGAUUGCAUGAUUUAGUGAGGACUUCGGACUGGGACCGAUGCGGCUUUCGGGCUGCGUCGGUAUUCUGGAAAGAUGUCCAAACUGUAUCAUUUAGAGGAAGUAAAANUCGUAACA